GACGUAGGGCGCGAGCGUUGUCCGGAUUUAUUGGGCGUAAAGAGCUCGUAGGCGGCUCGUUGCGUCGGCUGUGAAAACCCGCAGCUCAACUGUGGGCUUGCAGCUGAUACGGGCGGCUGGGAUUCGGUAGGGAGACUGGAAUCCUGGUGUAGCGGUGAAACUGCGCAGAUAUCAGGAGGAACACCGGUGGCGAAGGCGGUUCUCUGGGCAUUACCUGACGCUGAGGAGCGAAAGUGUGGGGAGCGAACAGG
This 251-nucleotide ribosomal RNA is filed under the name uncultured bacterium. RNAcentral's name for it is "partial 16S ribosomal RNA". It matches the Rfam family "Bacterial small subunit ribosomal RNA", at positions 524 to 776 of the family's 1533-position model. The record is from RNAcentral.